GUGGGGAAUAUUGGACAAUGGGCGAAAGCCUGAUCCAGCCAUGCCGCGUGUGUGAAGAAGGUCUUCGGAUUGUAAAGCACUUUAAGUUGGGAGGAAGGGCAGUAAGUUAAUACCUUGCUGUUUUGACGUUACCGACAGAAUAAGCACCGGCUAACUUCGUGCCAGCAGCCGCGGUAAUACGAAGGGUGCAAGCGUUAAUCGGAAUGACUGGGCGUAACGCGCGCGUAGGUGGUUUUGUAAGUUGGAGGUGAAAUCCCCGGGCUCAACCUGGGAACUGCCUCCAAAACUGCAUGACUAGAGUACGGUAGAGGGUAGUGGAAUUUCCUGUGUAGCGGUGAAAUGCGUAGAUAUAGGAAGGAACACCAGUGGCGAAGGCGACUACCUGGACUGAUACUGACACUGAGGUGCGAAAGCGUGGGGAGCAAACAGGAUUAGAUACCCUAGUAGUCC
This 450-nucleotide ribosomal RNA is filed under the name uncultured bacterium. RNAcentral describes it as "partial 16S ribosomal RNA". It matches the Rfam family "Bacterial small subunit ribosomal RNA", at positions 354 to 796 of the family's 1533-position model. The record is from RNAcentral.